Molecule: long non-coding RNA, 1916 nt
Organism: Falco peregrinus (peregrine falcon)
Lineage: Eukaryota; Metazoa; Chordata; Aves; Falconiformes; Falconidae
Exons: 3
Source: RefSeq, a predicted model, not a curated record
UCCAUCAGAAAAGACAUCUUGCUCUAAAGUCUCUCCUGAUGUUAAUCUCCUAAUAGCUUGGUUUCCCUCCACCCCAUUGAUUCAUCGGUCCAAUCAUUCUUCAGAUUUGAACAGGGGUAGGGGGAAGCGCUUUCCCAUCUGCAACAGAAAUCCCUGUGCUGGUUCUCUGCCUGUUACCAUCAGAGGCCGACGGGUUAGUACUUGAUAAAAGGGAAGAGCCCCAAACUGCCCCUGCCUAAGGACAGCGUGUGGAGAGAGGCACUGGAAGUGUACGCACAGGGAUGAACACGCCUGCAAAGCGGUGCCUUCCAAAGGGGGACAGCCCAGCUCCAGCUCGAGUAAUUAAAGGCAUCAGAGGCACAGGUAGUGUUUGCCCACGGUUGUGGUCUGUCUCCAUCAGUGCCUGCACCUUCUGACCCAGGGGGCAGGUGCCAUCGGCCGGUCUGUGCUCCUGACAGCUGCACGCCAGCCCCCCGCCACGCUGCUGCUCUGGCCUCUCACAUUGCAAACUGUCCAGAAGAACAACCGCUUCUACACGGGCUUGCGAGGUUGCCCAAGAAAAAAAAAAUCGAGAAGCUAAAAUAGUCUCUGCUAUAUUUCCACUGAGCAGCACAGAGCUUUGUCAAAGAUAUUUGCUGGGGAAAGAAAGAUCCUCUGCUAACAGAGCAUGAAGAUUGCAUUUUCAAAUGCAGGAAGCCAGGUGAUGUACAAGUUGGUGACCACAGUUUAAACUGCUAACUGAUUAUUGUGGUGCUAAGAAUUUGCAUCGCCUCUUUUUGAAGGCAAUUGACAACAUUGGUGAUAGCUCAGUGCGAGUGGAAUCAAGCCCCAGAUGCACAUUUUAUUGUAUUCCGUGUGUUAAAGUCAUUCCUGGAGCUGCUUCUGUAAAAGCCAGCAGAAACCCUGGCAGAAGGUCCUUGGCUGAGAAGUCCAGAGUCUAGAAACAGGAAAGGAUUGCCACGACGGAAACUACCCGAACCUCUUUCACAUGGGGCACUCACGUACAGCAAAAGCUGCUCCAGUUUCUGAUGGCAAGUCCUGAUGGCGUUUGAGGGGGGUAGAGCUUCCCUUCCCACUGCAAACACUCAAAACUACAGGAUGAGGUUAUUUCGCUUCCCCAAGUGAAACCUGCCACUGGUUAUCACAGUGGAUCCAAUGAGGUGUCUGGGCAAUGGAAGAGCUGGAAGGGCUUUUGAAUGUCUCCAUAUUGUGUUUUAAUAUUUAAACAUGAUACCGCCCGCAGACUUCUUGCCCUGAGCAAUUAUAUAUAAAUAGCAAGAAACUCCCUGCCAUAGGGACGGGCCAAUCUGUGACUUUUGAACAACUUCUGCAUCACUUCUGAGUAGUUCAGAUACAGCUCUCAUAACAGCAUUACAUCAGCCUGUUGGCACCAGGGCUGUCUAGCACCGGGGUGGCUGGGCCACUCAAACCCCCAGCCACGGGGGAAAGCGAGAGCGACACUGCGCAGCCCCCCGCGCGCCCAGGCCCUGCGCUGGGGCAGGGUCUGUGGGUGGCUGCUGAGCUGCUGUCACCCCCCGCCUGCAAACCACCCUGCAGCUCUCCUGGGAGCACCGAGGCAUACAGCACGUGCUUCACUCUUGCCCAUUUGCAGAUGUCUGUAAGCUGCCGGUAGAUUUUGGGAGGCUGGCCACCUUGUGCUCUACAGCCUUCUGAAAAUUAGCAUGGAGCAGGUAUUAGUGUGGAUUAAGUACGCUGUGACAGGCUUACAGCAUCAGUCAUCAGCCUGAAUAGGGAAAUGCUCAGCCAAGUCACCUUUAGGAGCAUCAUAUGAUGCAUUUUGCAUCUUCAUUACAGCUGAAGCACCCAAAGCAGGGUAAUGUGUAUUUUAUUUUAAAAGAAGUUUUAGCUAAACGUGUUUCAACCUCAAGUAAAUAAACUGCAGAUUAUCUCCUUUA